AAAACCGAAAUUAAAACAACAAAUUAAAAACACAAAGGCAAAUCUAAAAACAAAAUAACAAUUCAGAAAACACAACGCAUAAUCAGAAAUCAAAACAACAAGUCAGAAAUUUCAACGCCAGAUCUGAAAACAAAAUAACAAACCAGAAAACAAAAUAACAAACCAGAAAGCAAAAUAAAAAGUCAGAAAUCACAACAGCAAAUCAGAACAACCGGAAAAGGUAGGUACAAUGUGUUAGUGGAUUGGUUACUGCUGAUUGGACGACACGUCGUGGAUUGGUUACUGCUGAUUGGACGACACGUCUGUCAAUCAAGAUAUACAGGAAGUAAGACUUUUUGAAUCAACAAACUUGAAGGCAGAAGAAUGGAAUACAUUCAACGCUAUUUUGAGGACGGACAUUCAUAUGCCGUGAUUUUGGACAUGCUUUCAACUUACCAUGGCAUUAAGAUUAGCAUGCGCUCUCUUAAAACACAUCUAAAGGAAGCAAAUAUGUUUAGAAGAAAAAACUAUUCCCCAGUACACGAUGUCAGGAAUGCCAUAAGAGCGGAGCUACAUGGACCAGGACAGUUAUUCGGCUACCGGACAAUGUGGUUGGCACUUCAGCAGAAACACAAGUUGCAUGUAAAACGGGAUGAUGUUAUGCGAUUGAUGCAGGAGCUAAACCCACAAGGGACAUUUCAGAGAACACGUCGUAGAUUUGUCCGGCGUACAUAUCAUUCCAUGGGACCGAACUAUCUAUGGCAUGUAGAUGGGUACGAUAAACUGAAACCAUUUGGUUUCGCUAUAUCGGGUUGCAUUGAUGGUUUUUCGAGGCGUGUUAUGUGGCUUACUUGUGGACAUACAAACAACGACCCUGCUGUCAUUGCACACAACUUCAUUUCCUGUGUACAACGCAUGGGUGUUGUUCCUAUGAGAUUACGAACGGACUGUGGAACAGAAAACGGUACAUUAGCAGCAAUACAGUGCACUCUCCGCCAUCACCAUACAGAUUACUAUUCUGGUUUAAGAAGUCACAUGUAUGGUACAUCAAUGAGUAAUCAGCGCAUCGAAUCUUGGUGGUCCAUCUUAAGGAAAGCAAGGGCACAGUUCUGGAUAAACCUUUUUGGGGAUCUCAGAAACGAUGGACACUUCAAUGGCAGCAAUGAACACCAGUGCCUGCUUCAAUUUUGCUUUCAACAUAUCCUUCAGGCAGACUUGGAUGAAUGUGUAGAGCUGUGGAAUAAGCACAGGAUUAGGCCUUCUAGACUUGCCAUGUGCCCUGGUGGAGUACCAAAUGAGCUGUAUCUUCUACCACACAGAUCUGGAUCGAGGGAUUGUGGCUUUCCAGUUAAUGAUGUGGACUUAGGAGCUUUUCCUGAGUCAAGGCUGGCAACACAGUUAUGUGGGGAUAUAAAAAUUCAGGAAUAUCUAGAAUUUGCAAUGGAACAUAAUCAAUUACAGAGGCCACAGAAUUGGGAGGAAGCAUUACAUCUUUAUUUUACAAUGAAGGAAACAGCAGGUCUCUGAGCACGAGAAUUCUUAAAGAUGACACUAGAAACCACGGGGUACAUCAUGUUAAGAACUUAAUGCCAUGCAUAAACUGAAAACUGUGACAUUUCAAAAACUGUGAACACUGAUACUGACUAGUACAUUUGAGUUUAAUUAAAAGCAUCCAAAGCCUGGAGAAUUCUGGAUUCCGAAAUCCAUGUGAGAUUUAAAACUACUGUAUGUCUCUGAAAGCGGUAACUUGAGGGUGUUUGCACAUGUGUUUGCCAUUGGAAAGGGUGAAGUGUCAAGAAAAACAAUGCAUGGUUGUGGUGUUAUUCCAGCUGGUGGAAGUGAUGUGAGACCAGUGGCGAACAUCAGCAGAUUCUCCAGUGACACUUCAGUCUGGUGUUCUACAAACACAAAAAUUAUUAUUUCUCUUAUAGAUUUUUGAAGUUCAGUAAAAACAUCUGUUUGUUAAAUUUCGAAUAACACACCUUCACAGUCGAGGAGAUAGUCUGACCAAAAGGAAAGGGUCUUGGAUUCGUUUUGCCUCUGGUUACUACCUGCUGGGCUAAGUUCGUGUUUGAAGAGGUUUUCCAAAUCGAUGGCUGUUAGUUUCUUUUCAUUGUGGCACAGGAAAGAUCCUAACACACGGGGAUGCUGCUGAAGUGCAGUCAGAAACUGCAGGGUGGCAAGUCCAUCUUUAAAUCUAGUAAAGAUUUUAAAAAAUGUGUAAAAAAUUGUAUGAACAUUAAAUUACAGCUAUUUUGUACAUCUUAUAAUAAACAUUUGCCCAGGA
Long non-coding RNA from Paramisgurnus dabryanus, 2266 nucleotides. RefSeq lists it as uncharacterized. NCBI's taxonomy places the organism in Eukaryota, Metazoa, Chordata, Actinopteri, Cypriniformes, Cobitidae. The record is from RefSeq and is a predicted model, not a curated record.